This 253-nucleotide ribosomal RNA is filed under the name uncultured bacterium. RNAcentral's name for it is "partial 16S ribosomal RNA". It matches the Rfam family "Bacterial small subunit ribosomal RNA", at positions 524 to 776 of the family's 1533-position model. The record is from RNAcentral.
UACGAGGGGGGCGAGCGUUGUUCGGAAUUAUUGGGCGUAAAGGGCGCGUAGGCGGUCGGAUAAGUCUUGUGUGAAAUCUUCGGGCUCAACUCGAAGUCUGCACAGGAAACUAUCUGGCUUGAGUGUGGGAGAGGUGAGUGGAAUUCCUGGUGUAGCGGUGAAAUGCGUAGAUAUCGGAAGGAACACCUGUGGCGAAAGCGGCUCACUGGACUAUUACUGACGCUGAUGCACGAAAGCUAGGGGAGCAAACAGG